CCUACGGGUGGCUGCAGUGGGGAAUUUUGCGCAAUGGGCGGAAGCCUGACGCAGCAACGCCGCGUGGAGGAUGAAGGUCUUUGGAUUGUAAACUCCUGUCAGCAGGGAAAAAGGGAUAGGGCUUAAUACGUCUUAGACUUGAUUGUACCUGCAGAGGAAGCCCCGGCUAACUCUGUGCCAGCAGCCGCGGUAAUACAGAGGGGGCAAGCGUUAUUCGGAAUUAUUGGGCGUAAAGGGCGCGUAGGCGGCUAUGCAAGUGACGGGUGAAAUCCCUC
RNAcentral lists this ribosomal RNA (275 nucleotides) under uncultured bacterium. RNAcentral's name for it is "partial 16S ribosomal RNA". It matches the Rfam family "Bacterial small subunit ribosomal RNA", at positions 338 to 605 of the family's 1533-position model. The record is from RNAcentral.